This 420-nucleotide ribosomal RNA is filed under the name Pedobacter sp. Its description in RNAcentral is "bacterial SSU rRNA". It matches the Rfam family "Bacterial small subunit ribosomal RNA", at positions 21 to 440 of the family's 1533-position model. The record is from RNAcentral. Lineage: Bacteria; Pseudomonadati; Bacteroidota; Sphingobacteriia; Sphingobacteriales; Sphingobacteriaceae.
GGCUCAGGAUGAACGCUAGCGGCAGGCCUAAUACAUGCAAGUCGAACGAUAGUUGGGGUUUACUCCAACGAAAAGUGGCGCACGGGUGCGUAACGCGUAUGCAACCUACCUUAUUCAGGGGGAUAGCCCGAAGAAAUUCGGAUUAACACCGCAUAAAAUCACAGCUCAGCAUUGAGUAAUGAUCAAAUAUUUAUAGGAAUAAGAUGGGCAUGCGUGUCAUUAGCUAGUUGGCGGGGUAACGGCCCACCAAGGCGACGAUGACUAGGGGAUCUGAGAGGAUGACCCCCCACACUGGUACUGAGACACGGACCAGACUCCUACGGGAGGCAGCAGUAAGGAAUAUUGGUCAAUGGAGGCAACUCUGAACCAGCCAUGCCGCGUGCAGGAAGACAGCCCUCUGGGUCGUAAACUGCUUUUAUU